RNAcentral lists this ribosomal RNA (372 nucleotides) under uncultured bacterium. Its description in RNAcentral is "bacterial SSU rRNA". It matches the Rfam family "Bacterial small subunit ribosomal RNA", at positions 527 to 898 of the family's 1533-position model. The record is from RNAcentral.
GAACCGUGCAAACGUUGUUCGGAAUCACUGGGCUUAAAGGGCGCGUAGGCGGGUUCCCAAGUCAGGGGUGAAAUCUUUCGGCUCAACCGGAAAAGUGCCCCUGAUACUGGGAGUCUGGAGGGAGGUAGGGGUCUGUGGAACUCUCGGUGGAGCGGUGAAAUGCGUAGAUAUCGGGAGGAACGCCGGUGGCGAAAGCGACGGACUGGACCUUCUCUGACGCUGAGGCGCGAAAGCUAGGGGAGCAAACGGGAUUAGAUACCCCGGUAGUCCUAGCCCUAAACGAUGGGUACUAGGUUGUGGACUUGACAUGGGUUCACAGCCGAAGCAAAAGUGUUAAGUACCCCGCCUGGGGAGUAUGGUCGCAAGGCUGAA